UACGUAGGGGGCUAGCGUUGUCCGGAAUCAUUGGGCGUAAAGCGCGCGUAGGCGGCCAGAUAAGUCCGGUGUGAAAGUCACAGGCUCAACCUGUGAAUGCCGCUGGAAACUGUCUGGCUAGAGUCCGGAAGGGGCGAGUGGAAUUCUCGGUGUAGCGGUGAAAUGCGUAGAUAUCGAGAGGAACACCAGCGGCGAAGGCGGCGCUCUGGGCCGGAACUGACGCUGAGGAGCGAAAGCGUGGGUAGCAAACAGG
This 253-nucleotide ribosomal RNA is filed under the name uncultured bacterium. RNAcentral's name for it is "partial 16S ribosomal RNA". It matches the Rfam family "Bacterial small subunit ribosomal RNA", at positions 524 to 776 of the family's 1533-position model. The record is from RNAcentral.